GAAUUUUGAACCGUGUUCAUUAUGAUAUUAUUAUGACCUGAGUUGAGUUUUGGAGUUUGUAUUUUCAAGCUUGUGUGCUCAUCUGCCAGUCAGUGUCUUUAAGAGUGGGGUUCUGUUCAUUUUCGGCAACACGAAUUGGUUUCUUCUUGGGAUUCAAUUGUACGGGGAAAGUGCAAUGGAAGACCGGGAAAACAGCGAUCCCCAACGAAGCGAUCAAGAGGAUUUAGUCAAAGAUGAGGACAAUUGCUGGAGCCAAGAAAAUGUCGAUCGAGCAGUUCGUACAUUUGUCUCUAUUUGUCUUGGCGAGGAACGACCAUACGAGUAUAAUAUCAACCAGCAGAGAGCGAGGGACGCGGAUUCCAGGGAACAAAGGGUGCAGACUGCCACCCUCAAUCCUCUUGAAACUCAGUCACAUGUCCAAGCAAGUGCCGGAGAUUCCCGAGAAAAACAUACACAGGGACUGUGUGGUGACGAUUCCAGGACGGCUAAAAACGACUACACAAAGGACAAUUCAAGGGGCGCUGCUAGCCGGACAGUUUGCGACCUUGGACAACGUGGACACUAUGUGAAGGCACCUCCGAAGUUGGGUGGUAUAGGAGGAGUAUAUACCUCGCCAUGCAGUUCCGCAACGCCAAUGCCAUCUGUUCGCCCAGUCGGAAGUAUCCCAGGUUUAGGAGUUCCUUCGGAAACUUCAGUCCAAAAAGAACCUGCUCUGGAAGCGAUCGGUACUCAGAUUAACGAUCAGCAGAAAGAACUUUGGACAGAAGUUAUAUCAGGCUAUUCUAAUGAUGCUGAUAUGCGUUGGGGUCCAGAACAAACCAGACAGUUACACAGCUACCUCCACGAAGACACCCCUACCGCACCGUAUACAUCCGAUCGCUGCCAAAACAAAGAUACACAGAGUCGUGCUGCAGAGAUUUUUGCUGAUAUGGCGGC
Sycon ciliatum is the source of this 936-nucleotide long non-coding RNA. RefSeq lists it as uncharacterized. The transcript is spliced from 3 exons. NCBI's taxonomy places the organism in Eukaryota, Metazoa, Porifera, Calcarea, Leucosolenida, Sycettidae. The record is from RefSeq and is a predicted model, not a curated record.